GAAAUGCGAUAAGUAAUGUGAAUUGUAGAAUUCAGUGAAUCAUCGAAUCUUUGAACGCACAUUGCGCCCGGCAGCAAUCUGCCGGGCAUGCCUGUCCGAGCGUCAUUUCUGCCCUCGAGCGCGGUUCGGCCCCUAGCGGGCCGGCCGCCGCCCGGUGUUGGGGCGCUGCGGGCCCUCGUGCCCGCAGGCCCUGAAAUGAAGUGGCGGUCCCGCCGCGGCGCCCCCUGCGUAGUAGUAAAGCACCUCGCAUCGGGUCCCGGCGGAGGCCAGCCGUCGAACCUCUCUUUUGAUGGUUUGACCUCGGAUCAGGUAGGGUUACCCGCUGAACUUAAGC
Molecule: unclassified non-coding RNA, 334 nt
Filed under: plant metagenome
Description: partial contains 5.8S ribosomal RNA, internal transcribed spacer 2, and large subunit ribosomal RNA
Rfam family: 5.8S ribosomal RNA (bases 1-105)
Source: RNAcentral